CUGAAUCGUCGGCCCUCGGGCCUUCCAUUCUUCCACCCCUCUUGUGAACCAACGGGUCGCGGCGUUCUAGUAGAGUGGGUGCCCGAGAGGGGGCCCUUCGAAAGCCGCCCGGCCUACCUUUUAUAUAAAACCCGAUAGUCUUAGAAUGUAAACCUUUGCUUAACCGCAAUUUAAUA
RNAcentral lists this unclassified non-coding RNA (176 nucleotides) under uncultured fungus. Its description in RNAcentral is "sequence contains ITS1, 5.8S rRNA gene". The record is from RNAcentral. Lineage: Eukaryota; Fungi.